This 669-nucleotide ribosomal RNA is filed under the name Triticum aestivum (bread wheat). Its description in RNAcentral is "partial small subunit ribosomal RNA". Lineage: Eukaryota; Viridiplantae; Streptophyta; Magnoliopsida; Poales; Poaceae. The record is from RNAcentral.
AUGGAGCGACGGGAUCUGGGUGCAUGGCUUGGCCUAGCAACAGGCGGCGGCGCCGCGUGGCACACCCACGACGGCGAGCGGCGGCCUGACCCUGUCCGGCUCGACGAGCUGUUCCCGCAGCGCGGCAAAGAGGAGCGUGAUCAUGGCGAACAAGUGGCGAGAAAUACGGGAGGGAAAGGUGCAAGGCGGAAGAUAAAGGUCGGCGGCGAUGACGAGGGCCGAUCGUCCUCGUCGAACGGUCCGUGUCUGAGCGAUGGCGGUGGCAGUGAUGGCGGCGGCGGCGGGGGCAGGAGGAAGAAGCUCCGGCUCACCAAGGAGCAGUGCGCCCUGCUGGAAGGCAGCUUCCGUGCCCACAACAUACUUUCUCAUGUUCAGAAGCAGGAGCUGGCACGGCAGCUGAAUCUGAGCUCGAGGCAGGUGGAAGUGUGGUUCCAAAAUAGAAGAGCCAGGACAAAGCUGAAGCAGACGGAGGUGGACUGCGAGUUCCUGAAGCGGUGGUGCGAGAGCCUGACCCACGAGAACCAGCAGCUGAAGCACGAGCUCCUGGAGCUGCGGCGGUCGGCGGUGGCGCCGGUGGCAGCCGGCUCAAAGCUCUUUGCCCAGCUCCCCAGGGCGGCGGCCAUGAUGAACUUAUGCCCGUCCUGCGAGAAGGUCGCCGUGAAUAAUUAG